Molecule: ribosomal RNA, 440 nt
Filed under: uncultured bacterium
Lineage: Bacteria
Description: partial 16S ribosomal RNA
Rfam family: Bacterial small subunit ribosomal RNA
Source: RNAcentral
CCUACGGGAGGCAGCAGUGGGGAAUAUUGCACAAUGGGGGAAACCCUGAUGCAGCGACGCCGCGUGAGUGAAGAAGUAUCUCGGUAUGUUAAGCUCUAUCAGCAGGGAAGCAAAUGACGGUACCUGUUUAAGAAGCCCCGGGUAACUACGUGCCAGCAGCCGCGGUAAUACGUAGGGGGCAAGCGUUAUCCGGAUUUACUGGGUGUAAAGGGAGCGUAGACGGCAGCAUAAGUCUGGAGUGAAAUGCCGGGGCUUAACCCCGGAACUGCCUUGGAAACUGUGCAGCUAGAGUGCAGGAGAGGUAAGUGGAAUGCGCAGUGUAGCGGUGAAAUGCGUAGAUAUUAGGAGGAACACCAGUGGCGAAGGCGGCUUACUGGACUGUAACUGACGUUGAGGCUCGAAAGCGUGGGGAGCAAACAGGAUUAGAUACCCCUGUAGUC